UAGGUCACUGUAGCAGUUCAUGUCGUUCUCCAGGGAAACCAGGUCACUGUGUUAGUUCUUGUCAGUCUCCAGGGCAACCAGGACGCGUCUACUGAGGGGAUCCUGCUAGUGACUGAGAAACACGUUUCUAUCCACCAAUGGCCAGCCGGGGAACAGGCUUCCCGCUCCAUCAACCGCCUCUGCGCGUAUUUGUACGAGGCACAGAGAACAGGCACAGGUGCACAUUCAGCCACAGUGAAUUGAAGGGAUAACAUCACGAGGAGAUUGCUGGGGGAUUUCAGGACGAAGAGGAGACAUUGCUCCAGCCAGAGGAUGGUCGGUGUGAACUCGGCUUUGUUUCCAUCAUGUGUCACGAUGAGGCAGUGCUGUGUUAGCUGACUGUUCUCACUUCAGCUGUUACACACUUCCAUGUCACCACACGUGACUGACUACCUGACCACGAUGGAAUAAGAUAAAUAAAUACA
Oncorhynchus nerka (sockeye salmon) is the source of this 464-nucleotide long non-coding RNA. RefSeq lists it as uncharacterized. The record is from RefSeq and is a predicted model, not a curated record. NCBI's taxonomy places the organism in Eukaryota, Metazoa, Chordata, Actinopteri, Salmoniformes, Salmonidae. The transcript is spliced from 3 exons.